UGGGGAAUAUUGCACAAUGGGCGCAAGCCUGAUGCAGCCAUGCCGCGUGUAUGAAGAAGGCCUUCGGGUUGUAAAGUACUUUCAGCGGGGAGGAAGGCGUUGUGGUUAAUAACCACAGCGAUUGACGUUACCCGCAGAAGAAGCACCGGCUAACUCCGUGCCAGCAGCCGCGGUAAUACGGAGGGUGCAAGCGUUAAUCGGAAUUACUGGGCGUAAAGCGCACGCAGGCGGUCUGUUAAGUCAGAUGUGAAAUCCCCGGGCUCAACCUGGGAACUGCAUUUGAAACUGGCAGGCUUGAGUCUCGUAGAGGGGGGUAGAAUUCCAGGUGUAGCGGUGAAAUGCGUAGAGAUCUGGAGGAAUACCGGUGGCGAAGGCGGCCCCCUGGACGAAGACUGACGCUCAGGUGCGAAAGUGUGGGGAGCAAACA
This 427-nucleotide ribosomal RNA is filed under the name uncultured bacterium. RNAcentral's name for it is "partial 16S ribosomal RNA". It matches the Rfam family "Bacterial small subunit ribosomal RNA", at positions 355 to 774 of the family's 1533-position model. The record is from RNAcentral.